CAAAAAUGCCAUGAGCAGAUUUAUAAGAGCCAAAGACUUAUAAGUGGAGGUGAAUACGCAGGAAGGUUUUCUCAACCCGCUCGCUGCUCCUAUGAGAUGCCUGUGGAGUUCCGAGUCUGUGUGGCUAAAACCAUGAAGUUCUAAUUACUGGAACAGUGCUGGCUUGAUCUGCUGCUGGUUUGAUGGAAGAUCUGUCUGGAGAGGUCCUGACUCUGCCCAACAGAUUAGAUUAGUACUCCAGUUAUACAGUCUGGGUCUCUCCACAGACCUGAGUGGAGGAGAAGCCCCCGUGGGAGUUCUGUUGCUUGAUGAUCCACUUCACAAUCUUGGAUGCUGUGGACAGGUCUGAUGAAGACAGGUCCCGUGUGGGCCGGGAAGACUCAGAGGUUAGAUAGGCAAGAAGCACGAGCCAUUACCUGAAAAAUGCUGUGUGCAUCACUAUCGCCCAGAGGGUGCUUUGGCGAGUACACGAUCCCAUUGCGAGUGAUGUCUUCUCCACUGAUGCAGUUCUCAUGGUCUCUGUACACUGGGACACCAAAGAAGGCACCCUGGACAGUCUUUCCUGGCAGCAAACUGUAGAUCUGUGCAUUGGAGGAGAACAAAGGGCUGGACCUGGAGGCAAGAUGCAGAGGCUAACCAUAAAACCCGUGAAGCAUCCAUGAAGCCUGUAAAUGAAGACGCUUCUGUGGAAAUACAAAGGCAUUUUAAAGACAUGUUUGAGAAGAAACUGUUCUUGCCCACUCUUGAGACAAGUAAGUGUCUGAUUUCAGGGACAGCACCAAAGACUUAGCACCUUACACAAUCACCUUGAGUUGUGGCCGGCUAGCAAAUGGUCCGGACGAAAUUUAACUUCUCUAAAACGUAUUGUAGCAAAAUAAACCCAUCCUAUUUGUGUGUUAUCAUUCGUAAAAUGAAGUGAUAAGACAGA
This 928-nucleotide long non-coding RNA is filed under the name Mus caroli (Ryukyu mouse). RNAcentral's name for it is "lncRNA (MGP_CAROLIEiJ_G0003942.1)". The record is from RNAcentral. Lineage: Eukaryota; Metazoa; Chordata; Mammalia; Rodentia; Muridae.